RNAcentral lists this unclassified non-coding RNA (25 nucleotides) under Didunculus strigirostris. Its description in RNAcentral is "partial 3' external transcribed spacer". Lineage: Eukaryota; Metazoa; Chordata; Aves; Columbiformes; Columbidae. The record is from RNAcentral.
GCCGGCCYGCCGGCCUUCCCGCCGC